This 216-nucleotide long non-coding RNA is filed under the name Mytilus galloprovincialis (Mediterranean mussel). Lineage: Eukaryota; Metazoa; Mollusca; Bivalvia; Mytilida; Mytilidae. The record is from RNAcentral.
AUUAACAUAUUAUAUUAAGGUGGUACCCAACACUUUCGCUAAAAUUACUUUGGCUCGUUUAAUAUUCAUAAAACUUUGUCAAAGUAUUUACUUUGACACUUUAACAAAAAUGUAAAAAUUUACAAAAUUUUGAACCAACCGUUUUGUCAGAAAAAUUACACUGGUUAUAUAGCAAUUUGACAAACACCAAUUUUGAUCAGUGAGAAGCUUAAUAUU